AAAAACAAUACUUUACCCAGUCUUCACCUAUGUCUCCCUGUUCUUCUUUCGUCGAAUUCUCAUUCUGUUCUUGAUAGAAUUCAUUUAAAAUGGCCAGGGUAUCAGCAGGCAACUUAGGCUCAUUAUUACAGCUAAUUGUAACAUCAUUAUAAAUGUCGCUCAUACCGACAGAAAACUGCACAAAAAAACGGCUGAACCAAGUCACUUAAUUGCAGAAUCGUUGUAAACUCAAUACGACGAGUAAAAUCUCCAAAAUAAGGACAAAUGUCCAGUAGUUUUAUUAAAUACAAGGACAAAUUUCCAAUACAAAGACAAAUUUCCAGAAAUAUUAUAUUAAAGCACUACAGAACGCUAG
Molecule: non-coding RNA, 355 nt
Organism: Paramuricea clavata
Lineage: Eukaryota; Metazoa; Cnidaria; Anthozoa; Malacalcyonacea; Plexauridae
Source: the annotation of a GenBank genome assembly